Molecule: ribosomal RNA, 1574 nt
Filed under: Lactobacillus crispatus
Lineage: Bacteria; Bacillati; Bacillota; Bacilli; Lactobacillales; Lactobacillaceae
Description: bacterial SSU rRNA
Rfam family: Bacterial small subunit ribosomal RNA
Source: RNAcentral
UUUAAAAUGAGAGUUUGAUCCUGGCUCAGGACGAACGCUGGCGGCGUGCCUAAUACAUGCAAGUCGAGCGAGCGGAACUAACAGAUCUACUUCGGUAAUGACGUUAGGAAAGCGAGCGGCGGAUGGGUGAGUAACACGUGGGGAACCUGCCCCAUAGUCUGGGAUACCACUUGGAAACAGGUGCUAAUACCGGAUAAGAAAGCAGAUCGCAUGAUCAGCUUUUAAAAGGCGGCGUAAGCUGUCGCUAUGGGAUGGCCCCGCGGUGCAUUAGCUAGUUGGUAAGGUAAAGGCUUACCAAGGCGAUGAUGCAUAGCCGAGUUGAGAGACUGAUCGGCCACAUUGGGACUGAGACACGGCCCAAACUCCUACGGGAGGCAGCAGUAGGGAAUCUUCCACAAUGGACGCAAGUCUGAUGGAGCAACGCCGCGUGAGUGAAGAAGGUUUUCGGAUCGUAAAGCUCUGUUGUUGGUGAAGAAGGAUAGAGGUAGUAACUGGCCUUUAUUUGACGGUAAUCAACCAGAAAGUCACGGCUAACUACGUGCCAGCAGCCGCGGUAAUACGUAGGUGGCAAGCGUUGUCCGGAUUUAUUGGGCGUAAAGCGAGCGCAGGCGGAAGAAUAAGUCUGAUGUGAAAGCCCUCGGCUUAACCGAGGAACUGCAUCGGAAACUGUUUUUCUUGAGUGCAGAAGAGGAGAGUGGAACUCCAUGUGUAGCGGUGGAAUGCGUAGAUAUAUGGAAGAACACCAGUGGCGAAGGCGGCUCUCUGGUCUGCAACUGACGCUGAGGCUCGAAAGCAUGGGUAGCGAACAGGAUUAGAUACCCUGGUAGUCCAUGCCGUAAACGAUGAGUGCUAAGUGUUGGGAGGUUUCCGCCUCUCAGUGCUGCAGCUAACGCAUUAAGCACUCCGCCUGGGGAGUACGACCGCAAGGUUGAAACUCAAAGGAAUUGACGGGGGCCCGCACAAGCGGUGGAGCAUGUGGUUUAAUUCGAAGCAACGCGAAGAACCUUACCAGGUCUUGACAUCUAGUGCCAUUUGUAGAGAUACAAAGUUCCCUUCGGGGACGCUAAGACAGGUGGUGCAUGGCUGUCGUCAGCUCGUGUCGUGAGAUGUUGGGUUAAGUCCCGCAACGAGCGCAACCCUUGUUAUUAGUUGCCAGCAUUAAGUUGGGCACUCUAAUGAGACUGCCGGUGACAAACCGGAGGAAGGUGGGGAUGACGUCAAGUCAUCAUGCCCCUUAUGACCUGGGCUACACACGUGCUACAAUGGGCAGUACAACGAGAAGCGAGCCUGCGAAGGCAAGCGAAUCUCUGAAAGCUGUUCUCAGUUCGGACUGCAGUCUGCAACUCGACUGCACGAAGCUGGAAUCGCUAGUAAUCGCGGAUCAGCACGCCGCGGUGAAUACGUUCCCGGGCCUUGUACACACCGCCCGUCACACCAUGGGAGUCUGCAAUGCCCAAAGCCGGUGGCCUAACCUUCGGGAAGGAGCCGUCUAAGGCAGGGCAGAUGACUGGGGUGAAGUCGUAACAAGGUAGCCGUAGGAGAACCUGCGGCUGGAUCACCUCCUUUCUAAGGAA